UAGUUAAAACCAAAGUAGAGGUAUAUUACUGUUAAUAAUAAAAUUGGAUUAAAUCCUAACUAG
This 63-nucleotide transfer RNA is filed under the name Singhiella simplex. Its description in RNAcentral is "tRNA-Asn". Lineage: Eukaryota; Metazoa; Arthropoda; Insecta; Hemiptera; Aleyrodidae. The record is from RNAcentral.